CCUACGGGCGGCAGCAGUGAGGAAUAUUGGUCAAUGGACGAGAGUCUGAACCAGCCAAGUAGCGUGAAGGAUGACUGCCCGAUGGGUUGUAAACUUCUUUUGUCAGGGAGCAAGUGGGUCCACGCGUGGGCUUAGCGAGAGUACCUGAAGAAAAAGCAUCGGCUAACUCCGUGCCAGCAGCCGCGGUAAUACGGAGGAUGCGAGCGUUAGCCGGAUUUAUUGGGUUGAAAGGGUGCGUAGGCGGAAUAUCAAGUCAGCGGUAAAAAUUCGGGGCUCAACCCCGUCGUUCCGUUGAAACUGUUGUUCUUGCGUGGGCGAGAAGUAUGCGGAAUUCGUGGUGUAGCGG
This 346-nucleotide ribosomal RNA is filed under the name uncultured bacterium. RNAcentral describes it as "partial 16S ribosomal RNA". It matches the Rfam family "Bacterial small subunit ribosomal RNA", at positions 338 to 681 of the family's 1533-position model. The record is from RNAcentral.